GUAAGUGGAAUUUUCAGUUAGAAAACUGAUUAAGUGAAGUUCCGGCUAUAUUAACUAGUAUACGAGGGUUUUGAUGCCGUUUUGGUGUUGUUGGCAGCGAGAGUGCAACCGACCUUUGGAUCAUCUUCGGUUGACAUUGGAGAGCCUUUAGAGGUUAAACUUGAGGUACUAAAGUGAACCAAAUCAGGGAUUCAAGCUACAACCUUGUAUAAGGUGAGGAUUUUGCCAAUUUGGACAUUGUGGCCGUAGUUGCAAUGCGAUUUUGAUACCUAGUUUACAGCAGGUUUGAGAACCAAGCGAGUUGAAUUUCGGGAGUCCUUUGGGCUGGUUCGAGCUUAGUACUAAGUACUUUCACCUAGAUUGAAGAGUAGAUUCGACUGUUAUCUCAAUCUAGGUAAGAUAUUGCUUCGCUUUCGACAUUUGGACGAAAUGUGAUUCGAGAUGCGUAAAUUCAACUCUUAGCUGAUUUUUGAUUCGUUGCUAUGGGACUUGGAGACUUCAGAUUC
Molecule: long non-coding RNA, 506 nt
Filed under: Ananas comosus (pineapple)
Lineage: Eukaryota; Viridiplantae; Streptophyta; Magnoliopsida; Poales; Bromeliaceae
Description: long non-coding RNA (ACOM_LNC002243)
Source: RNAcentral